GUGAAUCAUCGAAUUUUUGAGCGCAAAUUGCACUCUCUUCGGAGAGUAUGCCUGUUUGUGGGUCAGUAUUAAUAAAAAUCGGUGUGUUGCUUCUUUGUGACGUUCCGGAGUUUGGGACAUCUUAAUAUAUCCUUUAGGUUUUACGAGGCUUAAAAUUGACUUUUAAUUGAGUAUUACACUAGUCGUACAUAAAUUUUUUUUUUAUUCGUCUGUAUUAAUGCUAAAAAUCCUUUUAGAUGCAAUCAAAAUGUGUGGUUUCGUGUUUAUAAAUUUUACA
RNAcentral lists this unclassified non-coding RNA (277 nucleotides) under Rhizophagus sp. (in: glomeromycetes). RNAcentral describes it as "partial contains 5.8S ribosomal RNA and internal transcribed spacer 2". The stretch from base 1 to 65 matches the Rfam family "5.8S ribosomal RNA", at positions 84 to 154 of the family's 154-position model. The record is from RNAcentral. Lineage: Eukaryota; Fungi; Glomeromycota; Glomeromycetes; Glomerales; Glomeraceae.